RNAcentral lists this unclassified non-coding RNA (902 nucleotides) under Hevea brasiliensis (rubber tree). Lineage: Eukaryota; Viridiplantae; Streptophyta; Magnoliopsida; Malpighiales; Euphorbiaceae. The record is from RNAcentral.
GAAAACCAAGUUUCCGAGAAGCCUGUGAAUGUAAUGUGAAUAAAAUUUAUUCAUCAUAACCUAUUUUCCCUGGGAAAAAGACUCCAAAACUUAUGAGAAAUUUGAUGUCUCAAAGUACUGCAGAAGAUCAUGCUUUAGCAAAAUAAAAGUUGAAAGUUGAAACAUUCCCCUUUCUAGCGUCAAGCAGGUAACUUAAAACUUUGCCUUUUAAACAUGUGCAGAAGAAAAUGUUACAAGGUAUCUAACAUUUCUGUGUAUCAACUCAAAAAACAUUUUUUUACUGGCUUCUACACCUCUGAUGCAAGACACCAAACAGUGAUGUUAAAAGUAUUUCCUCAUCAUUGAAAUUGGAUCCUUUAAGCCUUUUUAUUUUUGCACGAUAAUUCCCAUCAAUAAAAGAAAAAAAGUUCUCAACACAUGCUUUUUCAAUAAUUGAAGGUUAUGGUGCAAUAUUUUAUAUUUGUAACAAUCAAUUCGAUCUUUAAUAAUUGUCUACACAAGCAUACACAUCAUUUAUGGAGAGUGUUAGGGUUAUGUGCAUUGCAAGUUUAGCUCUCCUAGAAGGAAUGGAGGGGAGGUUCAAUUGAAAGGAGUUUUUAGUGUCAAAAUGCAACCGAUUGAACUAUUUAAGAGAAUGAAGUAAUAAAUGAGAAUGUAACUCGUAGGAUCCAAACAAGAUGGAUGAAAUGAAGGAGGGUAACGGGUAUGUUAUGCGACCAUAAAAUCUCUGACCAAGUGAAAAGUAAGUUCUAUAAAACUGUGAUUAAGCUAGCUAUAUUAUAUGGGAGUGAAUAUUGGGCAUUUAAAAUAUUACAUAUUCACAAGAUGAGUGUGACAGAGAAACAGAUGUUAAGAUGGGUGUCUAGUAUUGUAAAUUCAGGUAUUUUCAUUAAUUCAAAGGU